This is a long non-coding RNA of Myotis brandtii (Brandt's bat), 449 nucleotides long. RefSeq lists it as uncharacterized. NCBI's taxonomy places the organism in Eukaryota, Metazoa, Chordata, Mammalia, Chiroptera, Vespertilionidae. The transcript is spliced from 2 exons. The record is from RefSeq and is a predicted model, not a curated record.
CCACUGGGUCUGGGCUUGUCUGGGCCGCACAGCAAAGUCAGUGUAGGCUUUGGUGGCGGUCAAGUCCUGUGCUGGGGUUAGAGGAGGAGCGAGGAGGAGCCAGGAGAAGGGGAGAGGGGUCCCCCAAGCCCCGCUGCACUGCUGGCCCCUAUAAGGCCUCCGCGAUGGAAGGUCUUUCCUGCAUUCACCGACUGACAUGUCAAGAACCUGAACCGCUGUCACGCGAUCCCAUCCACACAACUCCAGCCGACCUCCACCCACUCCUCCAGCUCCAUGCCCACCAAGUCCAGGAACACCUCCAGGCGGCGCGGAUCCCUCUCCCUACCCCCACCCAAGCCCGGCACGUCCUCCCACCCCGUUGCCAGCCCUCUGCCCACCUAGACCUGCCCCAGUCGCCUGGGGACCCGCCCUCCCCACCAGCUCUGAUGGGUCUCCUAGGGCGGGGGAGG